GCCGGGUGUGGUGGCUCGCGCCUGUAAUCCCAGCACUUUGGGAGGCUGAGGUGGGUGGAUCACCUGAGGUCUGGAGUUCGAGACCAGCCUGGCCAACAUGGUGAAACCCCAUCUCUA
Molecule: non-coding RNA, 117 nt
Filed under: Gorilla gorilla gorilla (western lowland gorilla)
Lineage: Eukaryota; Metazoa; Chordata; Mammalia; Primates; Hominidae
Source: Rfam by way of RNAcentral